Molecule: transfer RNA, 67 nt
Filed under: marine eukaryotic metagenome
Rfam family: tRNA
About the family: Transfer RNA (tRNA) molecules are approximately 80 nucleotides in length.
Source: RNAcentral
CGGAAUAGCUCAGUUGGUAGAGCAACCGCCUUGUAAGCGGUAGGUCAGCGGUUCGAAUCCGCUUUCC